Molecule: ribosomal RNA, 253 nt
Filed under: uncultured bacterium
Lineage: Bacteria
Description: partial 16S ribosomal RNA
Rfam family: Bacterial small subunit ribosomal RNA
Source: RNAcentral
AAGCGAAACUGCGAAGUGGAGCAAAACUCUAAAAACAAUCUCAGUUCAGAUUGCAGGCUGCAACUCGCCUGCAUGAAGUCGGAAUUGCUAGUAAUCGUAGGUCAGCAUACUACGGUGAAUACGUUCCCGGGCCUUGUACACACCGCCCGUCAAACCAUGAGAGUUGGCAACACCCGAAGUCGGUAGUCUAACCGCAAGGAGGACGCCGCCGAAGGUGGGGUUGAUGAUUAGGGUUAAGUCGUAACAAGGUAAC